UUGAAGAAGUAAUAACCUGCACAAAAGAGGAAACACAAGAAUCCUUGGACAAAGAAAAGGAUGCAAAAGAAAGUGACACUUCAACUGGAGAGACAUGUAUUGAAGUAGCUGAGUUGAGUACAGAAGGAGAAAAGGAGGAACAGACCACACAAGAAGUCUCCUCUUCUCUGAUAGGCGAAGAAACAACUGAGGAAAGCCCAGAGGAAGAAGAGAACAAGGAAGCACAUGAAGAAUGUAAAGAGGUCAUUGAGGGAGCUAGCUCCUUUUUGUCAAAAGCAUCGGAGAAAGAAAUUGAAAAGGAGAUUCAGGGGGAGUAUAGCU
This 321-nucleotide long non-coding RNA is filed under the name Rosa chinensis. RNAcentral's name for it is "sRNA RchiOBHm_Chr2g0172851". Lineage: Eukaryota; Viridiplantae; Streptophyta; Magnoliopsida; Rosales; Rosaceae. The record is from RNAcentral.